This 498-nucleotide ribosomal RNA is filed under the name uncultured bacterium. RNAcentral's name for it is "partial 16S ribosomal RNA". It matches the Rfam family "Bacterial small subunit ribosomal RNA", at positions 30 to 523 of the family's 1533-position model. The record is from RNAcentral.
AUUGAACGCUGGCGGCAUGCCUUACACAUGCAAGUCGAACGGUAACAGGUCUUCGGAUGCUGACGAGUGGCGAACGGGUGAGUAAUACAUCGGAACGUGCCUAGUAGUGGGGGAUAACUACUCGAAAGAGUGGCUAAUACCGCAUGAGAUCUACGGAUGAAAGCAGGGAAUCGCAAGACCUUGUGCUACUAGAGCGGCCGAUGGCAGAUUAGGUAGUUGGUGGGAUAAAAGCUUACCAAGCCGACGAUCUGUAGCUGGUCUGAGAGGACGAUCAGCCACACUGGGACUGAGACACGGCCCAGACUCCUACGGGAGGCAGCAGUGGGGAAUUUUGGACAAUGGGCGAAAGCCUGAUCCAGCAAUGCCGCGUGCAGGACGAAGGCCUUCGGGUUGUAAACUGCUUUUGUUCGGAACGAAAAGCCCCGGGUUAAUACCCUAGGGUCAUGACGGUACCGUAAGAAUAAGCACCGGCUAACUACGUGCCAGCCGCCGCGGUAA